CUUAAAAACUACAUAAAAAGAUGGAAGCAGGAAUACAUAAAUUCGCUUAGGGAACAUUACCGAUACACAGAUCGAAACACAUAGAACAUUAAAGUCGGAGAUGUAGUUCAGAUUCAGGACUAUGUAUCAAGAGUAAAUUGGACUUUGGCGAUCAUUGACAAAUUAUUUUACGGCAAAGAUGGACUUACACGAUCAGCCAUAAUCGAACAAAAACUGGUUUGAUAUCUAGACCAAUUAUCAAACUUUAUCCGUUAGAACUGAAUUCUUUGGAACUUGAAAAUAGAGCAGCUCAGAGUGAGGCAAAGACGAAAAUAAAAACUUGGACUAACAUGUGUUAAAUGUAAAUUGUGAAAAGUAAAAUGAUAAUGUGUGAUUAGCAUAUGGACAUUAAAAUGAAUAUAAAAAGUGGGCUGCUAAAUAUUUUACAUAUAAACUUUCAAGUUUUAAUUUAUUUUAUUAGAACUUUAAUAAUUAAAGUUGUGAUCACUUUCAUUUAUUGUAAAGUAAUUCAUGUGCGGCCCAAGCAUGUUGGGAGCAAAAUCACAAACGUAACGUUCUCGCUGCCGCUAUUCAUUGUAACGUCACCUAAGUGUGACAUGUUGAC
This 604-nucleotide long non-coding RNA is filed under the name Mytilus galloprovincialis (Mediterranean mussel). Lineage: Eukaryota; Metazoa; Mollusca; Bivalvia; Mytilida; Mytilidae. The record is from RNAcentral.